UACGUAGGGUGCAAGCGUUGUCCGGAAUUAUUGGGCGUAAAGAGCGUGUAGGCGGCCCGAUUAGUCCGCUGUGAAAGUCCAGGGCUCAACCCUGGAAUGCCGGUGGAUACUGUCGGGCUAGAGUCCGGAAGGGGCGAGUGGAAUUCCUGGUGUAGCGGUGAAAUGCGCAGAUAUCAGGAAGAACACCCGUGGCGAAGGCGGCUCUCUGGGGACGGUACUGACGCUGAGACGCGAAAGCGUGGGGAGCAAACAGG
RNAcentral lists this ribosomal RNA (254 nucleotides) under uncultured bacterium. RNAcentral's name for it is "partial 16S ribosomal RNA". It matches the Rfam family "Bacterial small subunit ribosomal RNA", at positions 524 to 776 of the family's 1533-position model. The record is from RNAcentral.